UCUUGUACCACGCAUCGAAUCGUUUAAAAAACCAGUCCUCGUUUUAACUCGGUUAUUGCAACAUGUUUCUCGACGAAGGCACGUUUCGACCCACGCGAGCACGAAUAUCGUGACAAUAAUUUUUAUGCUUCGCCUCUAAACGGUAUCGUAAUUGUCGCGUGUGAUUGUCGUGUCGUAAACUGUUAUUAUUUUUUUUUUUAACCGAUUGUAUUUUAGAGAUGAUUACGCUAAAUAAUUUACGAACUAAAUAACUUUUUUUAUUUUUACUCUAUAAAUAAGUUUUCUUUAUCUCUUGGUUACGUUCGUUUCGUUAUCUUGAUUUAUUCCUCUUCGUAUCGGACAACGUGAUUUAGAAGAUUAGAAGGACGGGGAAUGAUGAGCGGCGGUAUACGAGUUCAACGAUCUGUUCUUUCAAUCUCAAAAGAGGGGAGGGGGGGGAGGGGAGGCUUGUUACGUAUUCAGGCGUUAAUCGAGGCUGGCAUAAUUAACUCGAGUAAUUCGAAUCCAGGAUAGGAGGAGGUAAAGAGACGUGAAAAUCCUUUCAGUCGGAUCGUCUCGAUCCUCGUAGGCUGAGGUUUUAUGUAAAUAGAUGUGUGUCAAGAAUAAUGGCUUUUCCAUUGUACUCUCCCGCCUGAAUAAAUUUAAUUUCUAAACAAUUUAAUAUUCAUGAGGAAUUAUGCGCGUCGUAUUGUUUGCACGUUUCCCAGACAAUAUUCUCCGCGGUUCUAACAAUUUUUCCCUAGGAAUUUUUUAUCGUUUAAACUCGAAAUGUACGAUAAUUUCUUAAUAACGAGGAAGAAGAGAGAAAGAGAGAGAGAGAGAGAGAGACCUCUCCAAACACGAAGAACGCGGAAGAGAAACCUUUGUUCCCGCGAGGAGGAGAGCAUGCCUUUGGCGAAUUUGGAACGAGUGCUCGUGUUAAACGUGCGCUUAUACGCGCGAUAAUCGCAGUCGUAACGAACCAACUCCAUCUUGGCAGCAUUCCGCAAAAACCAACGAAACAACCGAACAACGGAAACAAUCUCUUGCGUAAUCUUCAUCUUCACGGAACGGAAGAAAAUUGUCGUUAAAAAACAUUCUCGAGCACGCAAUUACUGUUAUACACAGACACACACACAUCGACGCGUAUACGAAACGCAUAUACCUAACCUGGUGUCGGAGAAACGCCGUGACUGUCGCGUUAUCAGAAAAGGAAGCGGAGCACCCUUUUCUUCGCCGCGUCCUCCAUCCCUCGUGGAACAAAGAGAGGAAGAGCAAGUAGGGAAAAACCGUGCCACCUUUUCGAAACUCCCCCGAAUGGAAGGGGCGAAAAAACAAGCGGGCCAACUACUACUAGUACGAAGUAGUAGUUCCUUUAUCUUCGCCCGUUUCCUUGAUCCACCGGCGACGAAAAGCCAACUGAUUUAUAACGAUUCUCACCCCCUCCCUCUGCGGAAGAUUCACCGUUCGUCCGAGUUUAUUUAUCGAUCCGAGGAGAGAAAGAAAAAAGGAGAGAAAAAGGAAAGCUCCCUCUCCCCGCCUCGGAUAAUUCGUUAUUUAUUCCGAACGAAACGGAGCCGUACCGUCUCGUAUCUUUUUUUUUCCAUCGAGAAACCACGACUCGAGUCCGCGUACACGGUCUUCCGGUCUUUAAAACGGCGGCUAUUUAUCUCCCUGGGAUCGAAUGAUGAAUGAGGAGGAGGAGGAGGAGGAGGAGGAGGGUCGUCGUGCCGCUGCCUGUCCUCCUCGUGCCCCAACCAGAUUUUCCAAGCCAGGAAAGUGAACGAGGUGCACCGCGACGAGGCUGUUCCCUUUUCAUCGGACGAACACCGCGUGGAACGCGCCAAGGAGACGCGAAGGAGACGUGAAAAGAAGAAGGGCGGUGGGUUCAAACUGGGGAUCGAGGGAGAGGAAUCGUGGUCCUCUUUCGAGAAAAAGGGGGUUUUGAAAGGAGGGAGGAAAGAAAGAAGGGAGGAGGGCAAGGGUUGGAAUUUUCUAAAGACGCUUACGCUUCACCCGGCCGCGAAGAAGCGCGGCGAGGAAAGCAGGCUGCCGCCGCCUAUAUUUACUCAUUUUCUUUUCCCCGUUUCUCAAAGGGGAGCGUCUUCUUCUUCUUCUUCUUCUCGGUCUCGUCGCUCGGCGUAAAAAUGCGCGGCCAUUCCUAAAGUCUUGCCUAAAGGCUUAACCUCGCGUGCUCGUAAUCCACACCUCUGGCUCUGAGCAUCUCUCGUUUGAGCAGACCUCCCCGACCUUACUUCUUUUUUUUUUUCUCCUUCGUUCUCGCCGCAUCUCGGAAAGUCCUGAUUUGGAGUUUCGAUUCUCGAAGAGAGAAGACGCCUUCGUUUCCUUCCCUGAAAAGUGUUUUAUCCGGAAAAAAGAGAGAUGUAUUUUUAUGUCGCUCAGGGGGUCACUAAAGAAGUUCCCGGAGAGGAAAGUUUUUCUGAUAACGAUUCGUCUUUGACGACAGUUGUUUUAUGACGAAACGAAAGGAGACGAAGGAAGAAAAGCAUCGAUGAGAGGCAACGAGAAGUUAAACUAGAGAAAUAGGGAAAGGAGAAGAGGAGAGAUGAUUUUGGACGAUACUCGAUAAAAAAAUGGCUAAACUUG
Molecule: long non-coding RNA, 2586 nt
Organism: Apis mellifera (honey bee)
Lineage: Eukaryota; Metazoa; Arthropoda; Insecta; Hymenoptera; Apidae
Exons: 4
Source: RefSeq, a predicted model, not a curated record